This 482-nucleotide ribosomal RNA is filed under the name uncultured bacterium. RNAcentral's name for it is "bacterial SSU rRNA". It matches the Rfam family "Bacterial small subunit ribosomal RNA", at positions 30 to 506 of the family's 1533-position model. The record is from RNAcentral.
UUGAACGCUGGCGGCAUGCCUUACACAUGCAAGUCGAACGGUAACGCGGGGGCAACCCUGGCGACGAGUGGCGAACGGGUGAGUAAUACAUCGGAACAUAUCCAGUAGCGGGGGAUAACCUAUCGAAAGAUUGGCUAAUACCGCAUACGAUCUACGGAUGAAAGCGGGGGACCGCAAGGCCUCGCACUAUUGGAGUGGCCGAUGUCAGAUUAGCUAGUUGGUGGGGUAAAAGCCUACCAAGGCGACGAUCUGUAGCUGGUCUGAGAGGACGAUCAGCCACACUGGAACUGAGACACGGUCCAGACUCCUACGGGAGGCAGCAGUGGGGAAUUUUGGACAAUGGGCGCAAGCCUGAUCCAGCCAUGCCGCGUGAGUGAAGAAGGCCUUCGGGUUGUAAAGCUCUUUCGGUGAAGACGAAACGGUUAUUGUUAAUAACAGUGACUAAUGACGGUACUCACAGAAGAAGCACCGGCUAACUACGU